CCUUCGAUAGCUCAGUUGGUAGAGCGGAGGACUGUAGCGGAUACAUGGAAAUCCUUAGGUCGCUGGUUCGAAUCCGGCUCGAAGGA
Larimichthys crocea (large yellow croaker) is the source of this 86-nucleotide non-coding RNA. Lineage: Eukaryota; Metazoa; Chordata; Actinopteri; Sciaenidae. The record is from Rfam.